UAGCGGAACUCCUACGGGAGGCAGCAGUGGGGAAUUUUGGACAAUGGGGGCAACCCUGAUCCAACAAUGCCGCGUGUGUGAAGAAGGUCUUCGGAUUGUAAAGCACUUUAAGUUGGGAGGAAGGGCAUUGACCUAAUACGUUAGUGUCUUGACGUUACCGACAGAAUAAGCACCGGCUAACUCUGUGCCAGCAGCCGCGGUAAUACAGAGGGUGCAAGCGUUAAUCGGAAUUACUGGGCGUAAAGCACGCGUAGGUGGUUUGUUAAGUUGAAUGUGAAAUCCCCGGGCUCAACCUGGGAACUGCAUCCAUAACUGGCAAGCUAGAGUAUGGUAGAGGGUAGUGGAAUUUCCUGUGUAGCGGUGAAAUGCGUAGAUACAGGAAGGAACACCAGUGGCGAAGGCGACUACCUGGACUGAUACUGACACUGAGGUGCGAAAGCGUGGGGAGCAAACAGGAUUAGAUACCCUUGUAGUCCACUUAUG
RNAcentral lists this ribosomal RNA (483 nucleotides) under uncultured bacterium. RNAcentral describes it as "bacterial SSU rRNA". It matches the Rfam family "Bacterial small subunit ribosomal RNA", at positions 328 to 803 of the family's 1533-position model. The record is from RNAcentral.